This 491-nucleotide ribosomal RNA is filed under the name uncultured bacterium. Its description in RNAcentral is "partial 16S ribosomal RNA". It matches the Rfam family "Bacterial small subunit ribosomal RNA", at positions 29 to 507 of the family's 1533-position model. The record is from RNAcentral.
GUGAACGCUGGCGGUAGGCCUAACACAUGCAAGUCGAACGGCAGCACAGUAAGAGCUUGCUCUUACGGGUGGCGAGUGGCGGACGGGUGAGGAAUACAUCGGAAUCUACUUUUUCGUGGGGGAUAACGUAGGGAAACUUACGCUAAUACCGCAUACGACCUACGGGUGAAAGCAGGGGAUCUUCGGACCUUGCGCGAUUGAAUGAGCCGAUGUCGGAUUAGCUAGUUGGCGGGGUAAAGGCCCACCAAGGCGACGAUCCGUAGCUGGUCUGAGAGGAUGAUCAGCCACACUGGAACUGAGACACGGUCCAGACUCCUACGGGAGGCAGCAGUGGGGAAUAUUGGACAAAGGGCGCAAGCCUGAUCCAGCCAUACCGCGUGGGUGAAGAAGGCCUUCGGGUUGUAAAGCCCUUUUGUCGGGAAAGAAAAGCAGCAGGUUAAUACCCCGCUGUUCUGACGGUACCCAAAGAAUAAGCACCGGCUAACUUCGUG